AUUCCAGCUCCAAUAGCGUAUAUUAAAGUUGUUGCAGUUAGAACGCUCGUAGUCGGAUUUCGGGGCAGUCCGACCGGUCUGCCGAUGGGUAUGCACUGGCCGGAGUGUCCUUUUUGCCGGAGACCGUGCCUACUCUUAACUGAGCGGGGGCGGGAGACGGCACUUUUACUUUGAAAAAAUCAGAGUGUUUCAAGCAGGCAGCUCGCUCUUGCAUGGAUUAGCAUGGGAUAAUGAAAUAGGACUUUGGUGCUAUUUUGUUGGUUUCGAACACCGAAGUAAUGAUGAGAAGGGACAGUCAGGGGCACUCGUAUUCCGCAGAGAGAGGUGAAAUUCUCAGACCCGCGGAAGACGAACCACUGCGAAAGCAUUUGCCAGGGAUGUUUUCAUUG
Molecule: ribosomal RNA, 389 nt
Filed under: Chrysochromulina sp.
Lineage: Eukaryota; Haptophyta; Prymnesiales; Chrysochromulinaceae
Description: partial small subunit ribosomal RNA
Rfam family: Eukaryotic small subunit ribosomal RNA
Source: RNAcentral